RNAcentral lists this ribosomal RNA (468 nucleotides) under uncultured bacterium. RNAcentral describes it as "partial 16S ribosomal RNA". It matches the Rfam family "Bacterial small subunit ribosomal RNA", at positions 28 to 507 of the family's 1533-position model. The record is from RNAcentral.
GACGAACGCUGGCGGCGUGCUUAACACAUGCAAGUCGAACGGUGAAGCCCCAGCUUGCUGGAGUGGAUCAGUGGCGAACGGGUGAGUAACACGUGAGCAACCUGCCCCUGACUCUGGAAUAAGCGCUGGAAACGGCGGCUAAUACUGGAUACGAGAAGGGUCCGCAUGGGCACGGUCUGGAAAGUUUGUCGGUUGGGGAUGGGCUCGCGGCCUAUCAGCUUGUUGGUGAGGUAAUGGCUCACCAAGGCGACGACGGGUAGCCGGCCUGAGAGGGCGACCGGCCACACUGGGACUGAGACACGGCCCAGACUCCUACGGGAGGCAGCAGUGGGGAAUAUUGCACAAUGGGCGGAAGCCUGAUGCAGCGACGCCGCGUGAGGGAUGACGGCCUUCGGGUUGUAAACCUCUUUCAGCAGGGAAGAAGCGAAAGUGACGGUACCUGCAGAAGAAGCACCGGCUAACUACGUG